AGAGCGAACGCUGGCGGCAUGCUUAACACAUGCAAGUCGCACGAGGGGCAACCCUAGUGGCGGACGGGUGAGUAACGCGUAGGUAUCUAUCCAUGGGUGGGGGAUAACAGCGGGAAACUGCUGCUAAUACCGCAUGACACCUGAGGGUCAAAGGCGCAAGUCGCCUGUGGAGGAGCCUGCGUCCGAUUAGCUAGUUGGUGGGGUAAAGGCCUACCAAGGCGACGAUCGGUAGCUGGUCUGAGAGGAUGAUCAGCCACAUUGGGACUGAGACACGGCCCAAACUCCUACGGGAGGCAGCAGUGGGGAAUAUUGGACAAUGGGCGAAAGCCUGAUCCAGCAAUGCCGCGUGGGUGAAGAAGGUCUUCGGAUUGUAAAGCCCGUUUCGGCGGGGACGAUGAUGACGGUACCGCAGAAGAGCCCCGGCUAACUUCGCGCCAGCAGCCGC
This 445-nucleotide ribosomal RNA is filed under the name uncultured bacterium. RNAcentral describes it as "SSU rRNA". It matches the Rfam family "Bacterial small subunit ribosomal RNA", at positions 26 to 518 of the family's 1533-position model. The record is from RNAcentral.